This is a long non-coding RNA of Oncorhynchus tshawytscha (Chinook salmon), 1136 nucleotides long. The record is from Ensembl. NCBI's taxonomy places the organism in Eukaryota, Metazoa, Chordata, Actinopteri, Salmoniformes, Salmonidae.
CCUAACCUUAACCAUUUAACCUAACUGUCACGUCUACACCCUCUCCCCCUCUCCGGUGCUCGACAUAACCGGUCCUGGAAACCCAUCAUUAUGCACACCUGGAAAUCCUUAUUACGCACACCUGCGCCACUUUAUGAGGUACACCUGGACUCCAUCGUUAUCCUAAUUACUACCCCUUUAUCUAGCACUCCCUAGCAUCACUCUUCAGGCAGUAUUGGUUUUGUUUCCUUGUCCUUUGCCAUCACCAUAACCAGCUGGCAAAACUGGGAACAGCUAUGGAUGAGGUCCUCCGCAUUCUUCAAGGUUUUGACAUUUCCGGAGUGGCAUCACUUCCAACAGGUGGAGGAUUCUCUAUCACAUGUCGACCAGCCCAGCGAGCCAGCACCCCAGACCAUCCAACAGUCCGCCAAGGUCUGUGAUGCCCGUUUGUCACUCCCAGACAAAUAUGACGGGUCUCCAUACAAAUUACGUUGCUUCCUACUUCAGUGCUCCCUAUAUUUCACUCACCAGAUGUGAGCCCCCACCACCGAGAGGUCCAAGGUUGCCACGGUUAUUUCCCUGCAUUGGAGUGGGCUACGGCCAUCUGGGAGAGAGGAGGAGGAGCUGAGUUCCUGUGAGGGGUUCAUGGCUUUGUUCAGGGGGUCUUCGACCAUCCACCGGAGGACAGAGAGCAGGGUGAGUACCUACUCCAACUACGACAGGAUGGCCAGACAACGACGGAGUAUGCUCUUCGGACAGUGGCAGCAUCCAGCGGAUGGAAUGAGCCGGCGCUCUGCACACUAUUCUGUCUGGAUAACCUUCUUCGGGAGCGUUGGCACCCCCAUCGCCUCUCUCCCUCCUUCCUUGACCGUCAGAGCCUGAACCCAUGGAUGUAGGGGCCACACCUCCCCGCAGCUGAGUGAGGCUGUUGUAGACAGUUUGGGCCCUGCUCCUAUUGUGGCCAGGAGGGGCACCAGCUUCAACAGCGUCCGGGAACGUCACAUCCCGGAAUCCACGAGAGCAGAGGGACGGCCCCGUGAUCAUCCGUCUCCUUGGUUAGGCCUCUAGUGGAUUCUGAUGCUACAGGACAUUUUAUUGACCAGGCCCUUGCCUCCUCCCUGCAUGUCACCUCAUACCCGCUCUCCUCUCAGUUUUUG